This 498-nucleotide ribosomal RNA is filed under the name uncultured bacterium. RNAcentral describes it as "partial 16S ribosomal RNA". It matches the Rfam family "Bacterial small subunit ribosomal RNA", at positions 30 to 523 of the family's 1533-position model. The record is from RNAcentral.
AUUGAACGCUGGCGGCAUGCCUUACACAUGCAAGUCGAACGGUAACAGGUCUUCGGAUGCUGACGAGUGGCGAACGGGUGAGUAAUACAUCGGAACGUGCCUAGUAGUGGGGGAUAACUACUCGAAGGAGUGGCUAAUACCGCAUGAGAUCUACGGAUGAAAGCAGGGGAUCGCAAGACCUUGUGCCACUAGAGCGGCCGAUGGCAGAUUAGGUAGUUGGUGGGAUAAAAGCUUACCAAGCCGACGAUCUGUAGCUGGUCUGAGAGGACGAUCAGCCACACUGGGACUGAGACACGGCCCAGACUCCUACGGGAGGCAGCAGUGGGGAAUUUUGGACAAUGGGCGCAAGCCUGAUCCAGCAAUGCCGCGUGCAGGAUGAAGGCCUUCGGGUUGUAAACUGCUUUUGUACGGAACGAAAAGCCCCGGGUUAAUACCCUGGGGCCAUGACGGUACCGUAAGAAUAAGCACCGGCUAACUACGUGCCAGCAGCCGCCGUAA